Molecule: ribosomal RNA, 279 nt
Filed under: uncultured bacterium
Lineage: Bacteria
Description: partial 16S ribosomal RNA
Rfam family: Bacterial small subunit ribosomal RNA
Source: RNAcentral
UGCCAGCCGCCGCGGUAAUACGAAGGGUGCAAGCGUUAUCCGGAUUUAUUGGGUUUAAAGGGUGCGCAGGCGGGAUAGUAAGUCAGUGGUGAAAGCCCACAGCUCAACUGUGGAAUUGCCAUUGAUACUGCUAUUCUUGAAUAUAGUUGAAGUGAACGGAAUGUAACAUGUAGCGGUGAAAUGCAUAGAUAUGUUACAGAACACCAAUUGCGAAGGCAGUUCACUAAACUAUUAUUGACGCUCAGGCACGAAAGCGUGGGUAGCGAACAGGAUUAGAUA